RNAcentral lists this long non-coding RNA (262 nucleotides) under Polistes fuscatus (common paper wasp). RNAcentral describes it as "uncharacterized LOC122519491". Lineage: Eukaryota; Metazoa; Arthropoda; Insecta; Hymenoptera; Vespidae. The record is from RNAcentral.
GAUUGCCGGCGAGAUGGCGACGGCCAGCGGUGGAAGUUGUCUCGGUUGCCGGUGCGCAGUGGUGGCAUCUAAUGCUUGGAGAGGGGGAAACAUAAAAAGAUCUACCAGCGAAAUGACACGGUUACUACAUGGAUUGGUGGCCCAGUUGGAAAAUAAUCCGUUUGCCGUUGACUCCAGAUAAAGAUAAAAUAAAAAAACUCUUUAGUUGUAUCGAAGUGUUAAUGGAGAAAUGACACGAACUCUUAAAAAAGAGAGAGAGAAA